AACGAACGCUGGCGGCAUGCCUAACACAUGCAAGUCGAACGAGACCUUCGGGUCUAGUGGCGCACGGGUGCGUAACGCGUGGGAACCUGCCCUUAGGUUCGGAAUAACUCCCCGAAAGGGGUGCUAAUACCGGAUAAUGUCUUCGGACCAAAGAUUUAUCGCCUUUGGAUGGGCCCGCGUUGGAUUAGCUAGUUGGUAGGGUAAAAGCCUACCACGGCGACGAUCCAUAGCUGGUCUGAGAGGAUGAUCAGCCACACUGAGACUGAGACACGGCCCAGACUCCUACGGGAGGCAGCAGUGGGGAAUAUUGGACAAUGGGCGAAAGCCUGAUCCAGCAAUGCCGCGUGAGUGAUGAAGGCCUUAGGGUUGUAAAGCUCUUUUACCCGGGAUGAUAAUGACAGUACCGGGAGAAUAAGCUCCGGCUAACUCCGUG
This 433-nucleotide ribosomal RNA is filed under the name uncultured bacterium. Its description in RNAcentral is "partial 16S ribosomal RNA". It matches the Rfam family "Bacterial small subunit ribosomal RNA", at positions 29 to 507 of the family's 1533-position model. The record is from RNAcentral.